CAACUAUUUGUAGAAUACUGGUGACUAAUAUUUUUGUUUAUUUCUGAUAUGUUUCAGGACAAUGCAGAUCUAAUAUUUGACGACCCAUCGGGACGGACUUACACAAUAAUUCAGAUACCAAAUCAAUAAGUGUUCCGAUAGCCGAAAUAAAUAGUAACCAAUUAGACAGUGUUCCUAGUUUAGAUAGUAUAAGUGACAAAUCUAGCCAAUCAAUUUUUUCUACUGUUGCCCAUACGCUAAACCGAGUCAAAAGGGCUUUUGGGAUUUUUUGGCUCCCCAAAAUAUAGAAAAAUCGAAAGAAAGUGAGGAAUCAACGACGGUGGAGGUGACAUCCGCAAACCCUACGAGCCUUUCAACAGCUAGUCUUAGUUCCGAAACCCCCGCCACCCUCUUUAACUCGACUGUCGAUAGUUCUCUUCUUUCCUUAGGCGAAGUGUCUCCGUUACCGAGUACGAGAGUUGCGAGGUACACCCCGACGGACCAAAGCGAAGACACUGGAUUCCCGUUUUCGGAUUCACCAUAUCCAAAUUCGAACUCGGACGACGAGGAUUUCUCGAAAGGAGGCUCCGGGGAGGAGUUCGCUGCCUCGGGCGAGAUCUCCACCAACACGCCGGAGGUCACGGAGUGGAGCACUGGCACCCAGGAUAUUUUGACUGGAGCACCCCAUUUCUAUCGAAUAACAAUAGUCAUCAAUGAACCGUACAAUGAGCAAUAUCUGGAUCAUGAGAGCGUCGUUUUCAAGCAGCUGGCAGCAAACUUGUCCUCAGCAAUUGAUGAAAUCCUUCGCUUUCUUGGCCAGUUUUCUUCAAACCUCAUUGCUGUGUCGUAAGUAGAGAAGUGUCAAAUAAGUCUAUCAUAUUUUGUGUCCAUUAUAAAAUCUCUGUUAACAAACCUGCACACUUCUUUG
Molecule: long non-coding RNA, 907 nt
Filed under: Bemisia tabaci
Lineage: Eukaryota; Metazoa; Arthropoda; Insecta; Hemiptera; Aleyrodidae
Description: lncRNA ENSSSA3NGG000183
Source: RNAcentral